GUAACACGGUGGGAGAAGCGGCACUGCCGCUGCCGAAGGCGCAACAGCCCGUAAUCGCUCAGGCCCGAUACCAUCUUCAACA
This 82-nucleotide non-coding RNA is filed under the name Xanthomonas campestris. RNAcentral describes it as "Glycine sequence". It matches the Rfam family "Glycine riboswitch aptamer". From Rfam's summary of the family: This family represents the bacterial glycine riboswitch. Glycine riboswitches usually consist of two metabolite-binding aptamers domains with similar structures in tandem. RNAcentral also lists the same sequence under 1 other name. Lineage: Bacteria; Pseudomonadati; Pseudomonadota; Gammaproteobacteria; Lysobacterales; Lysobacteraceae. The record is from RNAcentral.